Non-coding RNA from Cyanistes caeruleus (blue tit), 816 nucleotides. Lineage: Eukaryota; Metazoa; Chordata; Aves; Passeriformes; Paridae. The record is from RefSeq and is a predicted model, not a curated record.
GUGUCCUGUGCCCUGUGCCCUGGGAUGGCCUUUCUUGAGUAGGGAGGUGGCACCAGUGACCCACUGUGGCUCCUUCCAGCCUGAGCUAUCCUGGCAUUCUGUGGCUCUGUGACUUCACUGUUUGAAGAAGGAAGUCCUGCAGGCAGAUUGAUCACCUAGAACAGGGGUGUGUGGUAGCCCAUUCCCAGAAAGCAUGGAGGGACUUCUGGAAUGCCUUAUGGAUAAAAUCUUGUUCAUGUUUGUGUCUUCCUCACAUAAAUCAGGGAGCCUACCCACCCCUCCAUAUCAAAAGGUCACUGUCAAAAAGAAAAGCAAGGAAUCUCCUCUGGAAUUGUGAAAAGCAUCCUGAAAGGCUGAAGGGACUCCUGAGAAUGAUCUACUGGAAAAGAAGGUCACGCAUUCCCACUGGAGUGAAUGAGAUAAAUGUGAUGCUCACGUGUGAAAUGUGGCAGGAAUUUCACAACAGAGAGAUUUUCUGCCUACCAUGAAAUAAGUGGAAGGAAAACAUAGAUGUGCUCACUGAAAAUUCAUGGCCUGGAGAGCAAAAAGGGCCGGUCCAUAGCCUGGAAAUUUUCAAAGAUAUUCAGUGGGGUUGUAUUGAACCAUCUGUGGCAUGACACCUUCGGGAGCUGCACCCUGAAGAGGAGGAGACAUGGAUUGUCAUCAGCACGUGGAGACUGGGAAAAUUGAAAAACAGAUGAAUAUUUUGGAUUGGGUCCUUGGACUGGAAGUGGUUGUCUGACAUCAAUCUGCAUCACCUGCUGUAUUGUAUGAUGGUAGCUAAGAAUAAAAAUCUCUACUAUUUCCGCCUGAGGA